UACGUAGGGCGCAAGCGUUGUCCGGAAUUAUUGGGCGUAAAGAGCUCGUAGGCGGUUUGUCGCGUCUGCCGUGAAAGCCCGGGGCUUAACUCCGGGUCUGCGGUGGAUACGGGCAGACUAGAGGCAGGUAGGGGAGAACGGAAUUCCCGGUGGAGCGGUGAAAUGCGUAGAGAUCGGAAGGAACGCCCGUGGCGAAAGCGAGGUCCUGGACGUUUUCUGACACUGAGACGCGAAAGCCAGGGGAGCGAACGGG
This 253-nucleotide ribosomal RNA is filed under the name uncultured bacterium. RNAcentral's name for it is "partial 16S ribosomal RNA". It matches the Rfam family "Bacterial small subunit ribosomal RNA", at positions 524 to 776 of the family's 1533-position model. The record is from RNAcentral.